RNAcentral lists this ribosomal RNA (253 nucleotides) under uncultured bacterium. RNAcentral's name for it is "partial 16S ribosomal RNA". It matches the Rfam family "Bacterial small subunit ribosomal RNA", at positions 524 to 776 of the family's 1533-position model. The record is from RNAcentral.
UACGGAGGGUGCAAGCGUUGCUCGGAAUUAUUGGGCGUAAAGCGCGUGUAGGCGGUUUUGCAAGUCUGGUGUGAAAUCCCGGGGCUCAACUCCGGAAGUGCAUUGGAUACUGCUUAACUAGAGGACGAGAGAGGAUGGUGGAAUUCCUGGUGUAGGGGUGAAAUCCGUAGAUAUCAGGAGGAACAUCGGUGGCGAAGGCGGCCAUCUGGCUCGUAUCUGACGCUGAGACGCGAAAGCGUGGGGAGCAAACAGG